Molecule: transfer-messenger RNA, 366 nt
Filed under: Atopostipes sp.
Lineage: Bacteria; Bacillati; Bacillota; Bacilli; Lactobacillales; Carnobacteriaceae
Rfam family: transfer-messenger RNA
About the family: Bacterial tmRNA, also known as 10Sa RNA or SsrA, is named for its dual tRNA and mRNA-like properties. Its role is to liberate the mRNA from a stalled ribosome.
Source: RNAcentral
GGGGAUGUGCUGGAUUCGACAGGCACAGUUUGACCUUGAGUCACGUUUUGCAGGUUACGUCUGCAUCAACAACGUUACUAAAAUUAAUUAACACAAAUUAUGAAAAUAAUUUAGCUUUAGCUGCGUAAUAGCGGCUUAAGCGAUCCGAACUAGCAUCGCCCAUGUGCUAACUAGGGUCUCAAAUUGAAAGUGGGAUACGCUUUUGGCUUCCGUCUGCAGCCAAAAGAAGAGAUGAUCAGACUAGUGAAGCAUCAUGCCAGUCCUAUGGCUUGUGUGGAGCGAAUCUUUCAAAUAGUAGGACUAUGAACGUAAAGAUUGAAGUGGCAAUGUGCCUGGACAGGGGUUCAAUUCCCCUCAUCUCCAUAA